This 230-nucleotide ribosomal RNA is filed under the name uncultured bacterium. RNAcentral's name for it is "partial 16S ribosomal RNA". It matches the Rfam family "Bacterial small subunit ribosomal RNA", at positions 109 to 339 of the family's 1533-position model. The record is from RNAcentral.
CGUAACGCGUAUGCAACCUACCUUCUACAGGGGAAUAGCCCAGGGAAACUUGGAUUAAUGCCCCAUGGCCCAUACAGAUAGCAUUUGAAGUAUGGUAAAGAUUUAUCGGUAGAAGAUGGGCAUGCGUCCCAUUAGCUUGUUGGUAAGGUAACGGCUUACCAAGGCUACGAUGGGUAGGGGCCCUGAGAGGGGGAUCCCCCACACUGGUACUGAGACACGGACCAGACUCC